AGUUUUAUAGUUUAAAUAAAAUAUUAAUUUUGUAAAUUAAAGAUAAAAUAAAAUUUUAAAACAA
This 64-nucleotide transfer RNA is filed under the name Vollenhovia emeryi. Its description in RNAcentral is "tRNA-Thr". Lineage: Eukaryota; Metazoa; Arthropoda; Insecta; Hymenoptera; Formicidae. The record is from RNAcentral.